RNAcentral lists this ribosomal RNA (625 nucleotides) under uncultured archaeon. Its description in RNAcentral is "bacterial SSU rRNA". It matches the Rfam family "Archaeal small subunit ribosomal RNA", at positions 261 to 890 of the family's 1478-position model. The record is from RNAcentral.
UUAUCGGUACGGGUUGUGGGAGCAAGAUCCUGGAGAUGGAUUCUGAGACAUGAAUCCAGGCCCUACGGGGCGCAGCAGGCGCGCAAACUUUACAAUGCGAGCAAUCGUGAUAAGGAAACCCUGAGUGCCUGUCGAUGCAGGCUGUUCAUAUAUUUAAAUUGUAUGUGAAGAAAGGGCAGGGCAAGACCGGUGCCAGCCGCCGCGGUAAUACCGGCUGCUCGAGUGAUGGCCACUAUUACUGGGUUUAAAGCGUCCGUAGCUUGAUUUUUAGGUCUCUUGGGAAAUCUUUUGGCUUAACCACAAGGCGUCUAAGAGAUACCGGGAAUCUUGGAACUGGGAGAGGUAAGCCGUACUUCGGGGGUAGGAGUGAAACCUUGUAAUCCUCGAGGGACGACCUAUGGCGAAGGCAGCUUACCAGAACAGCUUCGACAGUGAGGGACGAAAGCUGGGGGAGCAAACGGGAUUAGAUACCCCGGUAGUCCCAGCCGUAAACAAUGUGCGUUAGGUGUGUCAGUUAUCACGCGUAACUGAUGCGCCGAAGAGAAAUCGUGAAACGCAUCACCUGGGAAGUACGGUCGCAAGGCUGAAACUUAAAGGAAUUGGCGGGGGAGCACCACAACAGGUG